RNAcentral lists this long non-coding RNA (205 nucleotides) under Pan troglodytes (chimpanzee). RNAcentral describes it as "lincRNA". Lineage: Eukaryota; Metazoa; Chordata; Mammalia; Primates; Hominidae. The record is from RNAcentral.
GGUCUCUCUAUAGUGGCCUCACGGUCUCCAGCCAAGAGCUCAAUCUUGCUUCUGGACAAAUAUUACCGAGAAACGUCUGCAAACCCCGGGCGCCCGGCUCCCACAUCACAGGGGCUGCGUCUCAGAAAACAACUUGUUUCUGCCGAUCCACCCCCCACCGCCGCCUCCCCGGGCACCUCGCCACACAGGACGCUCUGGGCUUCCC